Mauremys reevesii (Reeves's turtle) is the source of this 812-nucleotide long non-coding RNA. RefSeq lists it as uncharacterized. The record is from RefSeq and is a predicted model, not a curated record. The transcript has 3 exons. Lineage: Eukaryota; Metazoa; Chordata; Testudines; Geoemydidae.
CGACAGGCUCCACUACAUCUUGGAGCACAUUAACUACUGGAUGGUGUCCAGGGUGUCGCAGGAGAGAGCCAGGGCCAUUUGGAGCAGCAUGGCCCUGCUCAGAUUCACCAUCACUUUCCCUGAGUUUGACAACUCAGCAGAAUUGCCCAGGCUGGGUCAACAUGUGGUACAGCUGGCUCUGUUCAUCAUUGACCCAGGCAAGGACAUCAGCCAGCAGGCCAGGGAGGGGGUUUACCGACUCUACCAGCUGCUGCUGCACCAGACAGGUAAGGAACCCAGCUGGGAAAUGGCACCUGAUAGAAGAGUGAGACUGGGACCCCAGCCAAUUUCUCUCAGACUGACCCCAGCUGGAGGAUGAGUCUCUGUCUGUCUCUUUCUCUUUCCUACACCCCUCCCCUGCAAUUGUGAUGGACCAGGAUCACAGUGAGGACUCUGCCCACUGUGCAGCCACCAAUGGGAUUGGAAGGACACAAGCACUGCAACCAGAAUGGCAAAUGCGUGUGUGUCUCUCUUUCCCAGGGCUGACCAUCCGUGAGGCUGAAAACCUGUGGUGCAUGAGACAGCUCAGGGAGUGGGGGUGGCUGGGUCUAGCCCCAGGAUUUGGAGCUUGGCUGUGGGCAAUCUGUUAAUGCCUCACAUCCUGUUGAUUUGAGGACUUUGGAAAGUUCUUCUUGGAGGGGCAGAGAGGAUUCUUCCUCCGGACGGCAGUGAUGGCCGUCUACGACGCACUGCUGCGUGUGAGCCAGGCUGGACUGCUCUUUGCCAUUAGGAGCAGCACGGCCCUGCUCAGAUUCACCAUCACCCUCCCUGAG